CUGCAGAGCGCAAACCUUGAAGUACAUGUACUUCAAGGUUUGCGCUCUGCAACU
This 54-nucleotide microRNA precursor is filed under the name Triops cancriformis. RNAcentral describes it as "microRNA tcf-mir-10340 precursor". Lineage: Eukaryota; Metazoa; Arthropoda; Branchiopoda; Notostraca; Triopsidae. The record is from miRBase by way of RNAcentral.